UUGCAGUUAAAAAGCUCGUAGUUGAAGUUCGGCGCUUCGGCGUCUGUCCGCAAGGAACUCCGAUCCCUUAAAAGUUCUGUUUUCCGAACGGACCUUUACUGUGAAUAAAAUAGAGUGCUCAAAGCAGGCUUCGCUUGUAUAAUAAAGCAUGGAAUAAUAAAACAAGAUUCUGUUCUUUUAUUGGUUAUGAAUAGAGUAAUGAUUAACAGAAUCAGUUGGGGGCAUUCGUAUUUUAUCGUCAGAGGUGAAAUUCUAGGAUUGAUAAAAGACGAACUAAUGCGAAAGCAUUUGCCAAGAAUGUUUUCAUUAAUCAAGAACGAAAGUUAGGGGAUCAAAGACGAUCAGAUACCGUCGUAGUCCUAACUAUAAACUAUACCGACUAGGGAUUGGUGAGUCUCAAAUCUCAUCAGCACCUAAUGAGAAAUCAAAGUCUUCGGGUUCUUGGGGGAGUAUGGUCGCAAGGCUGGAACUUAAAGGAAUUGACGGAAGGGCACCACCAGGAGUGGAGUCUGCGGCUUAAUUUGAUUCAACACGGGAAAACUUACCAGGGCAAAAAACUGAGAUGAUUGACAGCUUGAAAGUGCUUUCUUGAUCCUGUAGGAAGUGGUGCAUGGCCGUUCUUAGUUG
This 627-nucleotide ribosomal RNA is filed under the name uncultured eukaryote. RNAcentral's name for it is "SSU rRNA". It matches the Rfam family "Eukaryotic small subunit ribosomal RNA", at positions 613 to 1300 of the family's 1831-position model. The record is from RNAcentral.